This 254-nucleotide ribosomal RNA is filed under the name uncultured bacterium. Its description in RNAcentral is "partial 16S ribosomal RNA". It matches the Rfam family "Bacterial small subunit ribosomal RNA", at positions 524 to 776 of the family's 1533-position model. The record is from RNAcentral.
UACAGAGGUCCCAAGCGUUGUUCGGAUUUACUGGGCGUAAAGGGUGCGUAGGUGGUUGGGUAAGUUUGAUGUGAAAUCUCCGGGCUUAACCCGGAAAUGGCAUUGAAUACUAUUCGGCUAGAGGUUUGGAGGGGGGGACUGGAAUUCUUGGUGUAGCAGUGAAAUGCGUAGAUAUCAAGAGGAACACCAGUGGCGAAGGCGAGUCCCUGGACAACACCUGACACUGAGGCACGAAAGCUAGGGGAGCAAACAGG